Molecule: transfer RNA, 82 nt
Filed under: Pseudomonas sp. Leaf48
Lineage: Bacteria; Pseudomonadati; Pseudomonadota; Gammaproteobacteria; Pseudomonadales; Pseudomonadaceae
Description: tRNA-Met
Source: RNAcentral
UUUGAGGUUGACACCCUGGCGUUCCUAGCUCGUCGGGCUCAUAACCCGAAGGUCGUCGGUUCAAAUCCGGCUCCCGCAACCA